AUUGAACGCUGGCGGCAGGCUUAACACAUGCAAGUCGAGCGGAGACUUCGGUCUUAGCGGCGAACGGGUGAGUAAUACCUAGGAAUCUGCCUAUUAGUGGGGGAUAACGAAUCGAAAGGUUCGCUAAUACCGCAUACGUCCUACGGGAGAAAGGGAGGGAUCUUCGGACCUCUCGCUAAUAGAUGAGCCUAGGCCGGAUUAGCUAGUUGGUAGGGUAAAGGCCUACCAAGGCGACGAUCUGUAGCUGGUCUGAGAGGAUGGCCAGCCACACUGGAACUGAGACACGGUCCAGACUCCUACGGGAGGCAGCAGUGGGGAAUAUUGGACAAUGGGGGCAACCCUGAUCCAGCCAUGCCGCGUGUGUGAAGAAGGCCUUCGGGUUGUAAAGCACUUUAAGCGAGGAGGAAGGUUUUAGUUUAAUACACUAAAGAAUUGACGUUACUCGCAGAAUAAGCACCGGCUAACUCUGUG
This 471-nucleotide ribosomal RNA is filed under the name uncultured bacterium. RNAcentral's name for it is "bacterial SSU rRNA". It matches the Rfam family "Bacterial small subunit ribosomal RNA", at positions 30 to 507 of the family's 1533-position model. The record is from RNAcentral.